GACGAACGCUGGCGGCGUGCUUAACACAUGCAAGUCGAGCGGUAAGGCCCUUUCGGGGGUACACGAGCGGCGAACGGGUGAGUAACACGUGGGUGACCUGCCCUCAGCUCUGGGAUAAGCCCGGGAAACUGGGUCUAAUACCGGAUAUGACUCCAUGACGCAUGUUGUGGGGUGGAAAGCCUUGUGCGGCUGAGGAUGGGCCCGCGGCCUAUCAGCUUGUUGGUGGGGUGAUGGCCACCAAGGCGACGACGGGUAGCCGGCCUGAGAGGGCGACCGGCCACACUGGGACUGAGAUACGGCCCAGACUCCUACGGGAGGCAGCAGUGGGGAAUCUUGCGCAAUGGGCGAAAGCCUGACGCAGCGACGCCGCGUGAGGGAUGACGGCCUGGUG
This 391-nucleotide ribosomal RNA is filed under the name uncultured bacterium. Its description in RNAcentral is "bacterial SSU rRNA". It matches the Rfam family "Bacterial small subunit ribosomal RNA", at positions 28 to 421 of the family's 1533-position model. The record is from RNAcentral.